AAAAUCUGCUUAAAUUCUUCUUCCAGCUUGGUUAUAGCCUUGGCUAGUAAAUUAUUUAUAUGGCUGAGCUCUUGAAGCUUUUGUUGUCACUAAAAAACCUAAUGUUGUUUCUUAGUUGCUCAAUUGCUUGAAGAUGGCUUUCCAGGUCCUCAUGUGGCCCUUCAAGUAUUUUAGCUUCAGUCAACAGAAACAAGUAAAACAAAGAUAUCA
This 210-nucleotide long non-coding RNA is filed under the name Olea europaea subsp. europaea. Lineage: Eukaryota; Viridiplantae; Streptophyta; Magnoliopsida; Lamiales; Oleaceae. The record is from RNAcentral.